Molecule: long non-coding RNA, 424 nt
Organism: Papaver somniferum (opium poppy)
Lineage: Eukaryota; Viridiplantae; Streptophyta; Magnoliopsida; Ranunculales; Papaveraceae
Exons: 3
Source: RefSeq, a predicted model, not a curated record
CAGUAACAGUGAGUGUUGGAGGGUGAAUCUCUGAGAGUUUGUUAAUAUAUCUCCUUGCGGUGCAAUAGUGUGAAGAGUUUCAAGAAGAAGGAUGCAAAUGGGUGCUCUUGAUGUGGGAUGAGCGAUUACGGUUUCCUUGACGACAACUGAUUUGAUCUGGAAACUAGGGAACUCUAUUAUAGAAUCGUCGGGCCCUAAUUGGCACUCCGUCGGUCCCUAAUUGGCACUCCAUCUACGGAUGGCAACCCGGAAGACCGUUUGUUUGAUAACGGUGGCUGGUAUCGGACUAUCAUGACGUAGGCACUGGCCUUGUAAAUAGUAGAGUAAUUUUAUCUGAAUUUGAUUGAAUGGCAGCUUACAAAUGUUUAUGAACAUAUGCUUUACAUUUAAUUACGAAUUUCAUAUUCUAGUUUGAUGCUUUUAA